This 372-nucleotide ribosomal RNA is filed under the name uncultured organism. RNAcentral's name for it is "bacterial SSU rRNA". It matches the Rfam family "Bacterial small subunit ribosomal RNA", at positions 526 to 896 of the family's 1533-position model. The record is from RNAcentral.
CAGAGGUGGCAAGCGUUGUUCGGAAUUACUGGGCGUAAAGGGCGCGUAGGCGGCCAUCUAAGUCAGACGUGAAAUCCCCCGGCUUAACCUGGGAACUGCGUCUGAUACUGGACGGCUUGAGUAUGGGAGAGGGAUGUAGAAUUCCAGGUGUAGCGGUGAAAUGCGUAGAUAUCUGGAGGAAUACCGGUGGCGAAGGCGGCACCCUGGACCAUUACUGACGCUGAGGCGCGAAAGCUAGGGGAGCAAACGGGAUUAGAUACCCCGGUAGUCCUAGCCCUAAACGAUGAAUGCUUGGUGUGGCGGGUAUCGAUCCCUGCCGUGCCGAAGCUAACGCAUUAAGCAUUCCGCCUGGGGAGUACGGUCGCAAGGCUG